RNAcentral lists this long non-coding RNA (381 nucleotides) under Physcomitrium patens. RNAcentral's name for it is "long non-coding RNA (PPAT_LNC003527)". Lineage: Eukaryota; Viridiplantae; Streptophyta; Bryopsida; Funariales; Funariaceae. The record is from RNAcentral.
UAAACUUGCUUCUUUUGAUGCUUCUCCCAUUUGAUCUUUAGAAUCCUCUGGUAAUGAUCCGGCAACAGGCUUUACCUUCUUAUCUGUCGUUUUAUAUCUCGUCUCUACUGUGACUUCUGGUGCUUCAAAAGAUUCAAGCAUGGUAUAAACCUCUCUCGAAUGAAUCUCAACAAUCUUAUCAUUAUGCCCUAAUCCAAUAGAUGUAAUCAAUUCCAAUGAAUCUUCCUGUCCAUUUUCUUCAUAAACACCCAAAAUCCUCUCAUCAUCUUGCAAUGUACCUAUCUUGCAUAACUGUCCUUCAAUAUCAUAUAAUCUUUUUUUUUCUUUUCUUUUAAAAUCAUCAACUUUCUUAUACAUAAUAUUUCCAUUCUCCAAUAUACC